GAACCGCGAUAAUUUAUGUGAAUUGCAGAAUUGCGUGAUCAUUGAAGUCUUGAAUGUAAAUGGCGGGAGUCCCUUUAUGGUACUCCUGUUGACGAAAGAGCGCGAAUACUUUAUUUCAACCUCCCUGAGAGGGUGAUUACUUGGCAUCUGCCUUGAAGGGUGGCAUUUGCUCAAAUUUGACCUUCAGUACUUUAAGUUGGAUUAUUCUGUCUAAGAGUACUUGAUAAUCGUCAUACUAUUACCUUAUUAACCUCUUUCGUCAACGACUACCCACCGAACUUAAGC
This 285-nucleotide unclassified non-coding RNA is filed under the name plant metagenome. RNAcentral describes it as "partial contains 5.8S ribosomal RNA, internal transcribed spacer 2, and large subunit ribosomal RNA". The stretch from base 1 to 105 matches the Rfam family "5.8S ribosomal RNA", at positions 50 to 154 of the family's 154-position model. The record is from RNAcentral.